Molecule: ribosomal RNA, 499 nt
Filed under: uncultured bacterium
Lineage: Bacteria
Description: bacterial SSU rRNA
Rfam family: Bacterial small subunit ribosomal RNA
Source: RNAcentral
UAGUCCACGCCGUAAACGAUGAUAACUAGCUGUUCGGGCCCACAGGGCUUGAGUGGCGCAGCUAACGCAUUAAGUUAUCCGCCUGGGGAGUACGGUCGCGAGAUUAAAACUCAAAGGAAUUGACGGGGGCCUGCACAAGCGGUGGAGCAUGUGGUUUAAUUCGACGCAACGCGCAGAACCUUACCAGCUUUUAGACAUCCUGGUCGCGGAUUUGGGAGACCAUUUCCUUCAGUUCGGCUGGACCAGUGACAGGUGCUGCAUGGCUGUCGUCAGCUCGUGUCGUGAGAUGUUGGGUUAAGUCCCGCAACCGAGCGCAACCCUCAUCCUUAGUUGCCAGCAUUUAGUUGGGCACUCUAAGGAACUGCCGGUGAUAAGCCGGAGGAAGGUGGGGAUGACGUCAAGUCCUCAUGGCCCUUACAAGCUGGGCUACACACGUGCUACAAUGGUGGUGACAGUGGGCAGCGAGACGGCAACGUCGAGCUAAUCUCCAAAACCNUCU